This 257-nucleotide ribosomal RNA is filed under the name uncultured bacterium. RNAcentral describes it as "partial 16S ribosomal RNA". It matches the Rfam family "Bacterial small subunit ribosomal RNA", at positions 524 to 776 of the family's 1533-position model. The record is from RNAcentral.
UACGUAGGGUGCGAGCGUUGUCCGGAAUUAUUGGGCGUAAAGAGCUCGUAGGCGGCUUGUCGCGUCGGAUGUGAAAGCCCGGGGGCUUAACUCCGGGUCUGCAUUCGAUACGGGGCAGGCUAGAGUUCGGUAGGGGAGAUCGGAAUUCCUGGUGUAGCGGUGGAAAUGACGCAGAUAUCAGGAGGAACACCGGUGGCGAAGGCGGAUCUCUGGGCCGAUACUGACGCUGAGGAGCGAAAGCGUGGGGAGCGAACAGG